Molecule: ribosomal RNA, 253 nt
Filed under: uncultured bacterium
Lineage: Bacteria
Description: partial 16S ribosomal RNA
Rfam family: Bacterial small subunit ribosomal RNA
Source: RNAcentral
UACGAAGGGGGCUAGCGUUGUUCGGAUUUACUGGGCGUAAAGCGCACGUAGGCGGAUCGAUCAGUCAGGGGUGAAAUCCCAGAGCUCAACUCUGGAACUGCCUUUGAUACUGUCGAUCUGGGGUAUGGAAGAGGUGAGUGGAAUUCCGAGUGUAGAGGUGAAAUUCGUAGAUAUUCGGAGGAACACCAGUGGCGAAGGCGGCUCACUGGUCCAUUACUGACGCUGAGGUGCGAAAGCGUGGGGAGCAAACAGG